ACAUUUUCUAACGUAGAAAACCCUAGUUUGUCGAAACCAUAGGUAUAUAAGUGUAUUUUUGUUUGGCUGGGCCCCUCUUCUCAUUCUUUUGUUUCUGCUGCUGCCCUAAACUUUUUUUUCCUCUUUCACUUUUUCCCUGUGUCGUUUUCUCCUCUUUUAUUUUCUUUUCUUCCUCUUUCUCUCUUUUCUUUCUACCUGUUAUUUCUUGCACCCUUCUUGGGCUAUCGAUUCUUUUUCUUUUUCUUGAAUCAUCAUCAAUCGUUUGGUUCGUUGGAAUCAGUAGCUUUGUGCAUUUGCCUCUCUGUUCUAUUUUACACGAUUGUGAUCCUAAUAGUAGUUUGGAUCGAAUCUUGAUGAUGUCAAAGCGGAUCUGAAUCGUAAGAGUCCGCUAAAGUGUUGCAGGGGCGUGUGGGUGAAAGCGUGUGUCUAACUAUGUGUGUAUGGGCUUGCCCGAAUGUUUGAGUGCUUAUUUUUGCGUUUUGGUUCUUGAUUUUAUCAUAUAAUAUUAAUUAUUUUAUUCUCAAGGUUUCGAUUGUGAUAACAACUCCAAAUAUGGUUGGAAAAUAUUCUUUGAUGUGGUACUGAGAAACUAACGAAUCAACAUAGUGGUAAAUGAGACCUGUAUGGUAGAUCUAGUUGUAGUAUGUGCCAUUUUUCUAAAUCGUUAAUGUUGAAUAUGUGUAUAAUGUAGAUUGAGUGUUAAUCCUGCAUAUAUCACUGAUGCAUGCUUACUGUUACUGUUUAGCCAACAAACUGUAGCCGUUUGCAUGAUAAUUGUAUGUUAAAAUUGUUACUGUUAUUGUUUUCUAACAUUCAUAGCCUGUGAUACUAAUGCAUUGGGAUUUGGGUGGUUGAAAGAGGAAGUUCAAGCAUUAAAUGCCGAAUUGAUUCACCGAUCAUUUACUGAUGGUUCAUCCACAUGAGCUAAGGCUCCUAUUGAUUUACUAGCGGCUCAUCCGCAAAUAUGAUUUUGGUAUGUAGGGCUAGAAGAGUUCUAGGUAACUCUUAUUGUGGUGUGUAAGGUUGGAUUCGGUAGUGUACUGUACUAACAUUCAUAAGCAUUUUAGAGUUACUGUGUUUUAUGUGAAUAUCGUGAUACUGAUAUAUACUGUAUACUGCAAACUUGUAUGCUGUUAUUUACUGCUUUAUAUACUCACUGCUUAUGUGUUAUUACCA
Molecule: long non-coding RNA, 1176 nt
Organism: Gossypium arboreum
Lineage: Eukaryota; Viridiplantae; Streptophyta; Magnoliopsida; Malvales; Malvaceae
Exons: 2
Source: RefSeq, a predicted model, not a curated record